CGAGUACUAGGUGUGGCCUCAUCGCCCUUGGUAUAGUUGGACAUAUUUCGAUAUGUAGAGGGCUAAUGGUGACAAGUUCAUCCUUGAUGUGAUAUGUUUGUGAUGUGAUGCAUUCCAUGAUGGCAUACUUGUAAAUGAACUGUUCUGCUAGUGUGGUUUCCGCUCACUGGGCUUUAUAGCUCACCCCUCUCCCCUAACCCCAGGUUUGCA
Molecule: long non-coding RNA, 210 nt
Filed under: Manihot esculenta (cassava)
Lineage: Eukaryota; Viridiplantae; Streptophyta; Magnoliopsida; Malpighiales; Euphorbiaceae
Description: long non-coding RNA (MESC_LNC001347)
Source: RNAcentral